Capsicum annuum is the source of this 156-nucleotide long non-coding RNA. RefSeq lists it as uncharacterized. The record is from RefSeq and is a predicted model, not a curated record. The transcript is spliced from 2 exons. NCBI's taxonomy places the organism in Eukaryota, Viridiplantae, Streptophyta, Magnoliopsida, Solanales, Solanaceae.
GUAUCCUCCGCCUAUUUCUAAAACAAAUUCUCCUUUCCCUUUUCUCUCAAUUGAGAAAAGUGAAUCACUCAAUCUCAAACGACAAGGCUAUUAAACUCUCAAUUUUGAAUCUAAAUUAGAGAGAGUCCCACUAAGGAUACCAGCAAGUGCCAGAAA